GGCUCCAUCUUACAAGGCAGUUUUGGAUGUUAUAUCUUCUCUAAUACUGCCUGGUAAUGAUGCAGAU
Danio rerio (zebrafish) is the source of this 67-nucleotide non-coding RNA. Lineage: Eukaryota; Metazoa; Chordata; Actinopteri; Cypriniformes; Danionidae. The record is from Rfam.